RNAcentral lists this ribosomal RNA (250 nucleotides) under uncultured bacterium. Its description in RNAcentral is "partial 16S ribosomal RNA". It matches the Rfam family "Bacterial small subunit ribosomal RNA", at positions 524 to 773 of the family's 1533-position model. The record is from RNAcentral.
UACGUAGGAGGCAAGCGUUGUCCGGAAUCACUGGGUGUAAAGGGUGCGCAGGCGGGAGUGCAAGUCAGAGGUGAAAUGUCACGGCUUAACCGUGAACCUGCCUCUGAGACUGUACUUCUUGAGUCCGGAAGAGGGUGGUGGAAUUCCUGGUGUAGCGGUGAAAUGCGUAGAUAUCAGGAAGAACACCAGUGGCGAAGGCGGCCACCUGGUCCGGCACUGACGCUCAGGCACGAAAGCGUGGGGAUCAAAC